GACGAACGCUGGCGGCGUGCUUAACACAUGCAAGUCGAACGGAAAGGCCCUGCUUUUGUGGGGUGCUCGAGUGGCGAACGGGUGAGUAACACGUGAGUAACCUGCCCUUGACUUUGGGAUAACUUCAGGAAACUGGGGCUAAUACCGGAUAGGAGCUCCUGCUGCAUGGUGGGGGUUGGAAAGUUUCGGCGGUUGGGGAUGGACUCGCGGCUUAUCAGCUUGUUGGUGGGGUAGUGGCUUACCAAGGCUUUGACGGGUAGCCGGCCUGAGAGGGUGACCGGGCACAUUGGGAAUGAGGUAAGGCCCAGAAUCCUAAGGGGGGGAGGAGGGGGGAAAAAUGGAAAAUGGGGGGAAGGCUGGAGCAGCAAAGGCGGGGGGGGGAAGAAGGGCUUCGGGGUGGAAACCGCUUUCAGCAGGGAAGAAGCCGUGUGUGACGGUACCUGCAGAAGAAGCACCGGCUAACUACGUG
RNAcentral lists this ribosomal RNA (469 nucleotides) under uncultured bacterium. Its description in RNAcentral is "partial 16S ribosomal RNA". It matches the Rfam family "Bacterial small subunit ribosomal RNA", at positions 28 to 507 of the family's 1533-position model. The record is from RNAcentral.